Drosophila melanogaster (fruit fly) is the source of this 21-nucleotide non-coding RNA. The record is from Ensembl. NCBI's taxonomy places the organism in Eukaryota, Metazoa, Arthropoda, Insecta, Diptera, Drosophilidae.
UAGCACCAUGAGAUUCAGCUC